UACAGAGGUCCCAAGCGUUGUUCGGAUUCAUUGGGCGUAAAGGGUGCGUAGGUGGCGCCGUAAGUCGGGUGUGAAAUUUCGGAGCUUAACUCCGAAACUGCAUUCGAUACUGCGGUGCUUGAGGACUGGAGAGGAGACUGGAAUUCAUGGUGUAGCAGUGAAAUGCGUAGAGAUCAUGAGGAAGACCAGUGGCGAAGGCGGCUGCCUGGCCCAAUACUGACACUCAGGUGCGACAGCGUGGGGAGCAAACAGG
This 253-nucleotide ribosomal RNA is filed under the name uncultured bacterium. RNAcentral's name for it is "partial 16S ribosomal RNA". It matches the Rfam family "Bacterial small subunit ribosomal RNA", at positions 524 to 776 of the family's 1533-position model. The record is from RNAcentral.